Leucoraja erinaceus (little skate) is the source of this 1107-nucleotide long non-coding RNA. RefSeq lists it as uncharacterized. NCBI's taxonomy places the organism in Eukaryota, Metazoa, Chordata, Chondrichthyes, Rajiformes, Rajidae. The record is from RefSeq and is a predicted model, not a curated record. The transcript has 2 exons.
UCCCACUUUCUCAUUCACUCCCUACAAACUGGGGGCAAUUUAGAGAGGUCCAAUUAACUGACAAACCCGCACAUUUUUGGGAUGUAGGAGGAAACUAGAGCACCUGGAGAAAACCCACGUGGUCACAGGGAGAAAGUAUAAACUCCGUACAGACAUCACCUGAGGUUAGGAUCAAAGCCGGAUCUCUGGCGUUGUGAGGCAGUGGCUCUACCAGCUGCACCAAUGUGCCAGCCUAAUCUUUGCAUCAAUCUCCUGAUAUGUCCAUAGACAAAGGAAUUUAAAAAGAUUGAGGCGAGUUUUGCUUUGCCGAGUGAGAUGAGAUAGAACAUAGAACAGUACAGGAACAGGCCCUUCAGCCCACAAUGUUCAUGCCAAACAUGACACCACGAUAAACUAAUCUCCCCUGCCUGCACAUGAUCCAUAUCCCUCCAUUCCCUAGAUACCACAUGCUGAGCAAAUGGUUAGUACAAAGAUGGGCUGAAUGGGCUAAUUCUGCUCCAAUCAUUUAUGACCUCAUGACCUAAUCCCCCACCUUUCCUGUUGCAUGCCACCUGUCAUCACUCCCCUUUACAAACUGGAAAGGGUGUAGAGAAGAUUUACAAGAAUGUUGCCUGGCUUGAGGGUCUGAGCUAUAAGGAGACGUUGAGCAGGCUAGGACUCCAUUCCUUGGAACGCAGGAGGAUGAGGGGUGAUCAAAAAUCAUGAGAGGAAUAUAUCAGCAGAGGUCACGGUCUCCUAGAGGAGUCGAACGGUAGCGGAAUGGUCUGCCUAGGCCAGCGGGAGCCGAGAUACCGACUGAUCUGCUGACUGGCCAGGCUGGAGUUCCAGAGCUCCAGACGCAGGAGUCAAAUUCGACCCGCCGUCGAUGUGGAAGUCAUGAUGAGGUCGAGGUUGGCCGCCUCAUCCGGCCUGUGCACCACAUUUUCGGGGGGAUUUCAAGUGCACUCUAGUAAUUUUGUCCGGACUAAGGAAGGUGCCAAACCACCAGUUGACGGAAAAUCGGUACAGGGUAACCUGUACCAAGAUAAACUAAUCAGGUCUGCCUGCAUGUGAUCCCUAUCUUUCCAUCCCCUGUAUAUCAAUGUGAUUUAUAAACGUCUUUUGAAU